This 292-nucleotide ribosomal RNA is filed under the name uncultured bacterium. RNAcentral describes it as "partial 16S ribosomal RNA". It matches the Rfam family "Bacterial small subunit ribosomal RNA", at positions 505 to 796 of the family's 1533-position model. The record is from RNAcentral.
GUGCCAGCCGCCGCGGUAAGACAGAGGUCCCAAGCGUUAGGCGGAAUCACUGGGCUUAAAGCGUGUGUAGGCGGGCCUGCAAGUACCUUGUGAAAUCCCACGGCUUAACCGUGGAACUGCUUGGUAUACUGCUGGUCUUGAGGCAUCUAGAGGCAACUGGAACAAACGGUGGAGCGGUGAAAUGCGUAGAUAUCGUUUGGAACGCCUAUGGUGAAAACAGGUUGCUGGGGAUGUACUGACGCUGAGACACGAAAGCCAGGGGAGCAAACGGGAUUAGAAACCCUGGUAGUCC